This 93-nucleotide small nuclear RNA is filed under the name Procavia capensis (Cape rock hyrax). Lineage: Eukaryota; Metazoa; Chordata; Mammalia; Hyracoidea; Procaviidae. The record is from RNAcentral.
AUACUGCUUUGGCAAUACAUAUAUCAAAAUUGGAACAAUACAGAGAAGAUUAGCAUGGAUCUUGUGCAAAUUCGUGUAACAUUCCAUAUUUUU